This is a small nuclear RNA of Callithrix jacchus (white-tufted-ear marmoset), 54 nucleotides long. Its record names the gene U7. It matches the Rfam family "U7 small nuclear RNA". From Rfam's summary of the family: Animal histone pre-mRNAs are spliced by a different mechanism than nuclear pre-mRNAs and self-splicing introns. The record is from Ensembl. Lineage: Eukaryota; Metazoa; Chordata; Mammalia; Primates; Cebidae.
AUGUGUUACAGCUCUUUCAGAAUUUGUCUAGCAGGCUUUCCAGUUUUUGCCCCU